UCCAUGGUGGACUGUUUUGAUAGGCUAAAGUAAAUCGACCAUAAAUCUUUGCUCCGAUAAUGGAUUUGGGUGAAAUCAAUUGCAUUAGAAAGAAGACUCUCAGGGCUUCUCAUCGAUAUAUAGCAGCUCACACAGUUCAUUUUUUACAAGGAGUUAUGAUCGUUUAAAGUCGACCCAAAAAUCUGUUUGGCUGCAGUACUUUUGUGUGCAGAAAAUUUCUGCACAUUUACUGUUCAUUGCGUCCACCAUUUUCAAGUUUCGAACAUGUUCGCUUAUAUCCGAUACUCAUCUGUUUUCAGAAAUCUUUAUAUCGUUGGAAAGCUAACUCG
Molecule: long non-coding RNA, 329 nt
Filed under: Capsicum annuum
Lineage: Eukaryota; Viridiplantae; Streptophyta; Magnoliopsida; Solanales; Solanaceae
Description: long non-coding RNA (CANN_LNC018588)
Source: RNAcentral